AAACAAAAACAAGCAGACCUGAACACGCACCCUACAUCAACACGAUAGAACUCUCUCUUCUGAUCAGCGCUGCAUCUAGGGCUCACGUCAGCUCACGCCUUCUUUCGAUCGUCUUCCUCUGCUCUCUCCUGCGACCGACUAGUCGAGUGCGCGCCGUUACACAAGCUCCGUCUCAGCCAACACUGCGUCGUUUUCGGAUUGAUAUAUGCAUCGGGCGAGGCAGGCUGCGCUUCUCAUUUCUCUUUUUACACCCCUCCUUUUUUUUAUGAUUGGUGCGCUUGAUUCUCUUUUUCUUUGGGCACGUGCCCGCCCGAUCUCUCUUCUCUCUUGCCCAUCUUUUCCCUUCGGACAUCAUGGGUUGCUUCAACUCAACCGACACCGUGGCCGAUCAGGACCCCGCGAGUGGGUACAUGUACACGAAGCCCAAGGCGAAGGGGACAAAGGAGGCGCUCUUCGGCGGACUUCUCUACCGCAUUACCGACGAGGAAGAGGGCGGCUUGGCCUUCUACAACAACUCGAAGGACUACGAGUUUCACAUCAAGUACCUGUUUGGCGCCGAUAGUCAGCUGAGCGCGGUGGGCGACACCAAGCUCGAGAUGCAGGAUGACGGCAUUCUCGCCGAGGUGGUCGUCUACCCGUUGGAGACGAAGCACUUUGUGCAGGGCACAAUCGACGGCUAUGAGAGCAAGCUCGAGGCACUGCCGCUGUCAGAGGAGUACUUUGCGCAGCACCCGGAGAUGGAUGAGGCGGCCUACUACCGCCGUCUCGAGGCACCCAAAAGCAGCCAAUUUUAAGCCUUCCUCCGAGGAAGAUGUGAUGGAGUCACCUCCCUCUCCACACCCGUGUCUCUUCGCGUCUUCGCAGAAAGCGGGGGCGGUGCUGCUGGUGCCUGCGCGUGUGCCCGUCCUCUUCUUUCUCCUCUAUUUGCCUUUGAUUGCUCGCCUGCCUCAUCCCCUCUACGUUUUUAUGUGCACACCGGCGAUGUUCUUCCGCCUCUCUCUCUCUGUGUAUGCAUGCAUGCGUGUGUGUGUGUGCGGGAGAAGGGGCGCGUCUUCGUUAUCUCUUCUGUGUGACCGCCUAUCCACUUCCAUGCGGAUGCGAGAGACGAGAAGGCUGGUGGUGGUGGGGGCGGCAGAGGUGUUUCUUCUUUGUUCGAUAGCGUAUCCGUAGUGGCGUGCCCCUCUCCUUGUUGCGCGUUGUGUUUUUCAUGUGCUCCCACAGUUUGUCUGUGACACCGCUCCGCCACUUGACGGCGAAAGGCAACGACAGAUGACCAAUGACCAAUUCGCUCUCCACAGCGAAAAGGGGGAGAGGAUAAAAGUGGAAAGCAGCGCAGCAACACAGAAAGAAAACGGCGGCGACGGAAAGAACGCCGCUCGAUGUAUUCGCCUUCAGCUCUUCUCUUUUUCAUACGUUUUUACCAUGUGUGUCUGUUUUCAUUUUCAAGGUUUGCCAGCCUCCCUCGCUUUUCCAUCCAUGUGCGCAGCCUAUUCUCCCUCGCCUUUUUCGUCUUGUUUGCUCUUGCACAUUGCUGCCAUCGUUUUUUUCUUGUUUGCUUCGCUCUUCUUUUCCAGGACGGGGCCACCCCCCCUCGUGACGUGUGGACCCCGCUCAGUGCGCCGUAUCUCAAAGUCCACUACCCACGCACUGUGUGGUGAAGCCAAGCAGCCCUCCCCAGCCCUAUCCCCUGCCGGAUGCAGAACCACCUCUGGUGGUGACAUGGCCAGGCCCUGGAUGGCGUUGCGUUGGAGCGACCUGCGACAGUGGGUCAGCGUACACGUCUGCGCCAUCCACGUGACAGGCAGAGCGUCAGCGUGACGCGAGCGCAUAUCCCACCCCCGGCCCUCGCGCUGCCUACAGCGGUGUGGGGGAGGCCUGAGGCACCCCGAGGGGAGGAUGCACCAGGCGGCGACCGGCAUGAUGCGGGAGCGGCGGUGAGGCGUGUCUAGGGCUGCUUCUCACCACGCGAUGUGAGGCCUGUGACAGGCCUGGCCGAGUGGUGUUCAGCGCAUGCUCUGUGGCAGAAUGGACACCUUGAAUGAAGGAUUUGUAUGUACGCUGCUUCUCCAUCAGAUAGUGAUCUUGAUGAUCGCGCAUGUUCCGUUGUUGCCUCUCCUCCCUUCCCCCGCCCCUCUCUUUUUCUCUCUGUUGCACACGCUUAAUGUGGAUGUUGGGCGGUGUUGUGCGUGUGGUGGUCGCUGCAGAUAACUUUUCUUCGUUCUGUCUCAUGUUUUUUUUUUUCUCAGAGGGAGGAGGGAGGGGAGAUGUUGUAUGUCUUGUGUGCGCGUGCGUUGUUUGCUCCGCUCUUCACCUCACUUCGCUCUCUUCAUCUGUGUACUCAUGAAGUGUACGUGUAACUCCCCCUCUUUGUGUGUGUGUGCGCCUCUAUGUCUUCAGUGAUGCAUGGGGAUGAAGCUCCUUCCCCAGUCGUUCUCUCUAAAUUUCCAGCUCUCCUCUUUCAGGGCAACACCUAUUCUUUUCUUUUUGUUAAUGCCCUCUCUCUCUUGUAUGUGGGUUGAUAUUUUCGGGUGGGUGGGGUUGAGUGCUGUCGCUUGUUUUCUCUCGCCGUUUUUUUUUUGUUUCCUUGCUUUCCUUUCCUUUCAUCCUCCCUCCGCUUCUCGCCGUCUCUCAAGCUUCCCGCAUUUUUGGUCGUGUGUGCAUUCAAGAUGUCGUCGAGGGCUGCAACGCUGGCAAGAACAGCAAAAACG
Molecule: unclassified non-coding RNA, 2708 nt
Filed under: Leishmania donovani
Lineage: Eukaryota; Euglenozoa; Kinetoplastea; Trypanosomatida; Trypanosomatidae
Description: gene:LdHU3.20.1570(CDS-product:calpain-like_cyste ine_peptidase_Clan_CA_family_C2)
Source: RNAcentral